GAUGAACGCUGGCGGCGUGCCUAAUACAUGCAAGUCGAACGAAACUUCUUUAUCACCGAGUGCUUGCACUCACCGAUAAAGAGUUGAGUGGCGAACGGGUGAGUAACACGUGGGCAACCUGCCCAAAAGAGGGGGAUAACACUUGGAAACAGGUGCUAAUACCGCAUAACCAUAGUUACCGCAUGGUAACUAUGUAAAAGGUGGCUAUACUACCGCUUUUGGAUGGGCCCGCGGCGCAUUAGCUAGUUGGUAGGGUAAAGGCUUACCAAGGCAAUGAUGCGUAGCCGAAUUGAGAGGUUGAUCGGCCACAUUGGGACUGAGACACGGCCCAAACUCCUACGGGAGGCAGCAGUAGGGAAUCUUCCACAAUGGGCGAAAGCCUGAUGGAGCAACGCCGCGUGGGUGAAGAAGGUCUUCGGAUCGUAAAACCCUGUUGUUAGAGAAGAAAGUGCGUGAGAGUAACUGUUCACGUUUCGACGGUAUCCAACCAGAAAGCCACGGCUAACUACGUG
This 512-nucleotide ribosomal RNA is filed under the name uncultured bacterium. Its description in RNAcentral is "partial 16S ribosomal RNA". It matches the Rfam family "Bacterial small subunit ribosomal RNA", at positions 28 to 507 of the family's 1533-position model. The record is from RNAcentral.